ACGCUCGACACCUACGGAGGCAGCAGUGGGGAAUAUUGCACAAUGGGGGAAACCCUGAUGCAGCGACGCCGCGUGAGCGAAGAAGUAUUUCGGUAUGUAAAGCUCUAUCAGCAGGGAAGAUAAUGACGGUACCUGACUAAGAAGCUCCGGCUAAAUACGUGCAAGCAGCCGCGGUAAUCUGAGCGGGCUGGCAAGGC
Molecule: ribosomal RNA, 197 nt
Filed under: uncultured bacterium
Lineage: Bacteria
Description: partial 16S ribosomal RNA
Rfam family: Bacterial small subunit ribosomal RNA
Source: RNAcentral